GUCUUUUAGAUUAUAAUUUAAAGUCUAACCUGCCCACUGAAAUUUUUGAAGGGCCGCGGUAUUUUGACUGUGCAAAGGUAGCAUAAUCAUUAGUCUUUUAAUUGAAGGCUUGUAUGAAUGGUUGGAUGAAACAUUAACUGUCUCAAAUUAAUAUUUAGAAAUUAAUUUUUAAGUUAAAAAGCUUAAAUAAAGUAAUAGGACGAGAAGACCCUAUAGAUCUUGAUAAUUAAUAAUUUAAUUAUAUUUUAGUUAAAUAUACAUUUUUAUUUUAAAAAUUAUUGUAUUGGGGUGAUAAAUAAAUUUAGUAAACUUUAUAAUAAAAAAACAUUAAUUUAUGAAUAUUUGAUCCAUUAAUAAUGAUUAAAAGAUUAAGUUACCUUAGGGAUAACAGCGUAAUUUUUUUAGAGAGUUCAGAUCGAUAAAAGAGUUUGCGACCUCGAUGUUGAAUUAAAGAUUAGUUUAGGUGUAGAAGUUUAAAUUUUUGGUCUGUUCGACCAUUAAAUC
This 504-nucleotide ribosomal RNA is filed under the name Acanthacorydalis asiatica. Its description in RNAcentral is "partial 16S ribosomal RNA". It matches the Rfam family "Bacterial large subunit ribosomal RNA", at positions 1830 to 2594 of the family's 2925-position model. Lineage: Eukaryota; Metazoa; Arthropoda; Insecta; Megaloptera; Corydalidae. The record is from RNAcentral.